RNAcentral lists this long non-coding RNA (884 nucleotides) under Erythranthe guttata (spotted monkey flower). RNAcentral describes it as "long non-coding RNA (EGUT_LNC001204)". Lineage: Eukaryota; Viridiplantae; Streptophyta; Magnoliopsida; Lamiales; Phrymaceae. The record is from RNAcentral.
UUUUUUUUUAAUGAAUAGAUAGAGCCAUGAUACAUUCCGGAAUAUUGUAUAAAGCAACCCCGUCUUUUUUUCGUCUAAAUGAUAAAGUGGAUUUCUUUUUCUGCUGUUUCAAAAAACUCCAUUCUAUUUUUUCUGAUGAUGCUUUUGAAAAAUGAACUUCAUUGAUUGAUUCAGAACACCUCUUCCUUGAUCUUGAUAGUAUCCAUGGGUACUUUCUAAGUUAGAACAAAAACAAAGGGGGAAUCGCUCAAUUUCCUGGAUUAUAUAUACUAUAUAUACUAAUAUUUCUGUAGAUUCGAUAUCGUACAAAUACUUUCUAUACUCUUACUUUUUUUUACUAUCUCAGAAAAAUUGAAAUUUUUGAUAAAUUCAUUGAAUAAGUUUUAUUUUAUGUUUGUCCACUAUUUUAUUGUACGUAAUAAAUCGAAAAAAAGUUCUGAUACAUCUGUAAAACCGAAACUAAGACUAGGAAUUUUUGGCGAACAGGAUCACAAAUCAUUACUCUUUCGACACAAGAAAAGGAAUUUGCUACACCCCUUUCUUGUGUCGAAGACUAGGAAGACACAUAAUGCACCCUAGAAUUUUUUGUUCCCCGCAUUUAUAAUUCUUUUUAUUACCCGUUUACUUAUGCUAAUAUCUAUCCCAAUUUGAUUCUGUUUCAAAUAGAAUCAAAUGGAUACAUUUUAUGACAUUGAAAUCUGGAAAUAGUAACAUAGUUGUAACAAUUCAAUUUGGCUAAAAAAACAAAGAAAGGGGUGGUAAAGUCAUAAAGUCAAAUAAAAAAGUCUUCUUCAAACAAAAAGCUACCUAUUCUGACUAGGAAUGCGGUACAAGGGAUUCCCCGAAGUUCGUAGAAAAAGAGGAAUUAAAUAAACGGUUUUUCC